Spinacia oleracea (spinach) is the source of this 665-nucleotide long non-coding RNA. RefSeq lists it as uncharacterized. Lineage: Eukaryota; Viridiplantae; Streptophyta; Magnoliopsida; Caryophyllales; Amaranthaceae. The transcript is spliced from 2 exons. The record is from RefSeq and is a predicted model, not a curated record.
UUUCCCACAACUUCGUAUACCCAGUCAAAAUUUAUGACAAUACUCCUUUUACAUUUAACCUUUUCUACUAAUUAAUUUUAUAAAACAUGCAAUUACCCUAGUAUCCCAAUCCCAACCCCACUACUCCAAGACGCCUUAGUUAUACGGUUAUAUACCUCUACUUCUCCGCCUUCAAAAUACAUAAUCUCUAUCUCUUUCAUUUAUUUAUUCAUAAGAUCACCAUUCAAAUGGCGAAGUUGAUCGAAGAAGAGGUAAUGAGCGAAGUUCAUAUAGGAUACCCCUUAAUUUCUAUGGCCUUUCUUAUAGAUCUCUCAGAUUCAAGUGGAUAUUUUUAGAUAGACGACGAUGACGAAUAAGUUUUUUGAAUUAGCCGAUGAAGCUGGCUAGAGACAUCAACGAUUGAAAUCACAAAAUGUCAUCGACUUAAUCAGGUGAUGGUGUGAAGAAGAGAAGUUAUCCAUUAAUCACUUUGUACUUUAAUUCAAUUGUUAAGUUCUAUUGGACUAGGGAGGAAAACUACCUCAUGCGUUUUAAUAUAGUAAUUGUAGAUUUGAGUUGUAAUGCAAGAUGUGUUUGGAUUAUUGAACUUUAGUUAGUUACAAUUUUUUUUGGCAACUGAAAUGUAAGGGUUUGGAAUAUUAUUUAUGAAAUACAAAUUUGAAGUA